CCAAUAGCGUAUAUUAAAGUUGCUGCAGUUAAAAAGCUCGUAGUUGAAUUUCGGGACCAGUAUGUCGGUCGUGCUUCGGUACGUACUGGCAUCAUUGGUUUCUCCUUUCUGAAGAACCGUGAUGUCAUUAAUUUGGUGUCGUGGGGAAUCAGGACUGUUACUUUGAAAAAAUUAGAGUGUUUAAAGCAGGCGCACGCUUGAAUACAUUAGCAUGGAAUAAUGAAAUAGGACGUUUGAUUCUAUUUUGUUGGUUUCUAGGAUCGACGUAAUGAUUAAUAGGGAUAGUUGGGGGCAUUAGUAUUCAAUUGUCAGAGGUGAAAUUCUUGGAUUUAUUGAAGACUAACUACUGCGAAAGCAUUUGCCAAGGAUGUUUUCAUUAAUCAAGAACGAAAGUUAGGGGAUCGAAGACGAUCAGAUACCGUCGUAGUCUUAACCAUAAACUAUGCCGACUAGGGAUCGGAUGAUGUUAAUUUUUUAAUGACUCAUUCGGCGCCUUACG
This 499-nucleotide ribosomal RNA is filed under the name uncultured Glomeromycotina. RNAcentral describes it as "partial small subunit ribosomal RNA". It matches the Rfam family "Eukaryotic small subunit ribosomal RNA", at positions 591 to 1092 of the family's 1831-position model. Lineage: Eukaryota; Fungi; Glomeromycota. The record is from RNAcentral.